UAGCUAGUUGGUGAGGUAAAGGCUUACCAAGGCGACGAUCUGUAGCGGGUCUGAGAGGAUGAUCCGCCACACUGGAACUGAGACACGGUCAGACUCCUACGGGAGGCAGCAGUGGGGAAUUUUGGACAAUGGGGGCAACCCUGAUCCAGCCAUGCCGCGUGAGUGAAGAAGGCCUUCGGGUUGUAAAGCUCUUUCGGCCGGGAAGAAAUCGCAUGGGCCAAUACCCUGUGUGGAUGACGGUACCGGAAUAAGAAGCACCGGCUAACUACGUGCCAGCAGCCGCGGUAAUACGUAGGGUGCGAGCGUUAAUCGGAAUUACUGGGCGUAAAGCGUGCGCAGGCGGUUUUGUAAGACAGGCGUGAAAUCCCCGGGCUUAACCUGGGAACUGCGUUUGUGACUGCAAGGCUAGAGUACGGCAGAGGGGGGUGGAAUUCCACGUGUAGCAGUGAAAUGCGUAGAGAUGUGGAGGAACACCAAUGGCGAAGGCAGCCCCCUGGGUCGAUACUGACGCUCAUGCACGAAAGCGUGGGUAGCAAACAGGAUUAGAUACCCUGGUAGUCCACGCCCUAAACUAUGUCAACUAGGUGUUGGGUGGGUAAAACCAUUUAGUACCGUAGCUAACGCGUGAAGUUGACCGCCUGGGGAGUACGGCCGCAAGGUUAAAACUCAAAGGAAUUACGGGGACCCGCACAAGCGGUGGAUGAUGUGGAUUAAUUCGAUGCAACGCGAAAAACCUUACCUACCCUUGACAUGCCAGGAACUUGCCAGAGAUGGCUUGGUGCCCGAAAGGGAGCCUGGACACAGGUGCUGCAUGGCUGUCGUCAGCUCGUGUCGUGAGAUGUUGGGUUAAGUCCCGCAACGAGCGCAACCCUUGUCGUUAAUUGCCAUCAUUUAGUUGGGCACUUUAACGAGACUGCCGGUGACAAACCGGAGGAAGGUGGGGAUGACGUCAAGUCCUCAUGGCCCUUAUGGGUAGGGCUUCACACGUCAUACAAUGGUCGGUACAAAGGGUUGCCAAGCCGCGAGGCGGAGCCAAUCCCAGAAAGCCGAUCGUAGUCCGGAUUGCAGGCUGCAACUCGCCUGCAUGAAGUCGGAAUCGCUAGUAAUCGUGGAUCAGCAUGUCACGGUGAAUACGUUCCCGGGUCUUGUACACACCGCCCGUCACACCAUGGGAGCGGGUUCCGCCAGAAGUAGGUAGCCUAACCGCAAGGGGGGCGCUUACCACGGCGGGGUUCGUGACUGGGGUGAAGUCGUAACAAGGUAGCCGUAGGGGAACCUGUGGCUG
This 1285-nucleotide ribosomal RNA is filed under the name metagenome. RNAcentral's name for it is "bacterial SSU rRNA". It matches the Rfam family "Bacterial small subunit ribosomal RNA", at positions 242 to 1520 of the family's 1533-position model. The record is from RNAcentral.